This 253-nucleotide ribosomal RNA is filed under the name uncultured bacterium. RNAcentral's name for it is "partial 16S ribosomal RNA". It matches the Rfam family "Bacterial small subunit ribosomal RNA", at positions 524 to 776 of the family's 1533-position model. The record is from RNAcentral.
UACGAAGGGGGCUAGCGUUGCUCGGAAUCACUGGGCGUAAAGGGUGCGUAGGCGGGUCUUUAGGUCAGGGGUGAAAUCCUGGAGCUCAACUCCAGAACUGCCUUUGAUACUGAAGAUCUUGAGUUCGGGAGAGGUGAGUGGAACUGCGAGUGUAGAGGUGAAAUUCGUAGAUAUGCGCAAGAACACCAGUGGCGAAGGCGGCUCACUGGCCCGAUACUGACGCUGAGGCACGAAAGCGUGGGGAGCAAACAGG